AUUGAACGCUGGCGGCAGGCUUAACACAUGCAAGUCGAGCGGGGUGAUGGUGCUUGCACUAUCACUUAGCGGCGGACGGGUGAGUAAUGCUUAGGAAUCUGCCUAUUAGUGGGGGACGACAUCUCGAAAGGGAUGCUAAUACCGCAUACGUCCUACGGGAGAAAGCAGGGGAUCACUUGUGACCUUGCGCUAAUAGAGGAGGCUAAGUCGGAUUAGCUAGUUGGUGGGGUAAAGGCCUACCAAGGCGACGAUCUGUAGCGGGUCUGAGAGGAUGAUCCGCCACACUGGGACUGAGACACGGCCCAGACUCCUACGGGAGGCAGCAGUGGGGAAUAUUGGACAAUGGGGAGAACCCUGAUCCAGCCAUGCCGCGUGUGUGAAGAAGGCCUUAUGGUUGUAAAGCACUUUAAGCGAGGAGGAGGCUCUUUUGGUUAAUACCCAAGAUGAGUGGACGUUACUCGCAGAAUAAGCACCGGCUAACUCUGUGCCAGCAGCCGCGGUAA
RNAcentral lists this ribosomal RNA (503 nucleotides) under uncultured bacterium. RNAcentral describes it as "partial 16S ribosomal RNA". It matches the Rfam family "Bacterial small subunit ribosomal RNA", at positions 30 to 523 of the family's 1533-position model. The record is from RNAcentral.